RNA transcript from Eriocheir sinensis (Chinese mitten crab), 1024 nucleotides. RefSeq lists it as uncharacterized. The transcript is spliced from 3 exons. Lineage: Eukaryota; Metazoa; Arthropoda; Malacostraca; Decapoda; Varunidae. The record is from RefSeq and is a predicted model, not a curated record.
GGGGAGAGUAGGGGUUUAGGGGAGGGGGAAGGAGAGGGGAGUGAUCCACCCACGAAGGCCGAGUUACAAGUAUAUAAGGCGUGGGCUGGGCUGGACUGGCAGACACUUGGGCUGACGGCAGUGAGCAGACAUCAGCACCAACCAUGAAGACCUACGUGUGUGUGGCUCUGGGCCUCCUGGCAGUGGCGGCUCUGGUGCACGCUGACCCUGAGCCCGAGGCCCUCGCCGAAGCCGACCCCGACGCCCACCGGCCCUACUCCUACCACUACGGCUACCCCCACUACGGCCACUACUCCUACCGCCACUACGGCUACCCGCGCUACCACCACCACCACAAGCGGUCCGCUGACCCUGAGGCCAGUGCUGACCCAGAGCCCAGCAGACACUACUACGGCCACCACCACCACACCCCCUACCACUACCACCACCACCACAAGCGCUCCGCUGACCCCGAGGCUGCCGCUGAGCCCAGCAGGCACUACUCCUACGGUCACCCCCACCACUACGGCUACUACCACCACAGGCCCCACUACUACCACAACCACCACAAGCGCUCCGCUGACCCCGAGCCCAGCGCAGAGCCCAGCAGGACCCACUACUACGGGUACGGCCACCCCGGCUACCACUACUACAGGUACCCCUACUACCGCUACGGCUACUACCACCGCCACCACUAGAGCCGAUCCCUUUCUUCACUCCACCAUGACCCUGCAACGGGCCACUCCACUUCCUUCAUCUCCUCCACUUUAUCUUCCACCUCCCCCACGACCAACCUGCUGCGGGCCGCCACCUUCUCCUCCUCCCCCCCACGGCCGCCACUUGUCUCGACGCAGCGACUCGCUUCCCCGGGGCGGCUGGCAGGAGAGGCGCCGACACCCGGACUCACGGAUAGGCCGGUCUUGCUCACGCCGGUUUUUCCCGCGUCCCCGUGUCGCCCCACCCGCCCCGGAGCACCGGUGAGGGACGCCGCUCCGCCCCGGCCCCCUCGCCCUCACGACCUUUAAAUAAAACUGCAAUGCCUUAA